GUGCAGAUCCCACGGUCUAUCUAUAGAGAGAUUAUAUUCUAAUUAACCUCCAUUACGAUCCCACAUUGUUACAGAACAACUUGUUAGAGGUUAAUAACUCUACAGACACUUUCCUUUUAUGAAUUAAUUUUCAAUGGUGAGUUCUAUCUAGAUGAUCAUCCUCAUGUAGUGACCCAUGGGAUACUUCAUUAUUAAAAAUUUUAGCUAAUAGGAUUGAAAUAUAUAUAUUUUUUUCUUAGAUCAUUAAGGGGCCAGUUAAUCCCACAUACAAUGAAAGAA
This 279-nucleotide unclassified non-coding RNA is filed under the name Hevea brasiliensis (rubber tree). Lineage: Eukaryota; Viridiplantae; Streptophyta; Magnoliopsida; Malpighiales; Euphorbiaceae. The record is from RNAcentral.